Molecule: non-coding RNA, 848 nt
Filed under: Florometra serratissima (common feather star)
Lineage: Eukaryota; Metazoa; Echinodermata; Crinoidea; Comatulida; Antedonidae
Source: RNAcentral
GAAAACUUGGUCCCAAUUUCCCUUACUUUUUUAUCUAUAAUGAUACAUGCAAAGAAAUAUCUUCUCCAGCGGAAAAAUAUAAAAGUUUAAAAACUUAAUUAAAAUAAAAUAAAGAAAUCCUCUUAUUCUUUAAAUAUAUAAUUCCACAACAGCAGUACUAAAUAUUAAGCAAUUAGUAAAAACUAGACUUAAUAAUAGAAAUAAAUAUUGGUAAAAAUACGUGCCAGCCACCGCGGUUAUACGUAAAAUAUAAAAAGUAAAGAAACAUUCUUAGUGAAAAAUAAUUUAAUUAAAGUGUAUUAAAAAUAAAAUUCAACAGUCAAAUGUAUAAAAUAAAAUAAAAUAAAUUACAAAAGUAAAACACUAAAAAAAAUUCACGUAAGUUUAAAAACAAACCAGGAUUAGAAACCCUGCUAUGUUAAACCAUAAACCUAAAAAAGAACUACGAGCCAAAGCUUAAAACUUAAAGGACUUGGCGGUUUUUUAGAUCUCUCUAGAGGAGCCUGCUAUAUAAUCGAUAAUCCACGAAAAACCUUACCUUUUCUAGAAAAUCAGCUUGUAUAUCAUCAUCGUCAGCUCACCUUAAUAAAAGAAGUAAGCUAAAAAGAAACUCAAAAACGUUAGAUCAAGAUGCAGCCAAUGAAAAGAGAAAUAAGUGGGCUACAAUACUCAAAACGAAUAGCGAAAUUUUAAAUUCAUAAAAUAAAAGAAGAAGGAUUUAGUAGUAAGAAAAGUAAAUAAAAAUACUCUGAAAAAAGCUCUAAAACACGUACACACCGCCCGUCACUCUCUUUAACUAAAAGAGAAAAGUCGUAACAAGGUAAGAGUAGGGGAACCUGCUCUUGGAA